CUCCGGUGGAUCCCGCCGGGACCCGACUGCUAUCGGAUUGAGAUUUAGCCAUGCGAGUCGAACGUCCCCCUGUUGCGGGGGGCGUGGCGUACGGCUCAGUAACACGUAGUCAACCUGCCCUGGAGACAAGGACAACCCCGGGAAACUGGGAUUAAUCCUUGAUAGGUCAUCUCAUCUGGAAGGAGAGAUGGCUUAAAGGGGUACGCGGGCUUCUUCCGCGAAUUCGCUCCAGGAUGGGACUGCGUCCGAUCAGGCUGUUGGCGGGGUAAUGGCCCACCAAACCUGUAACCGGUACGGGCCUUGAGAGAGGUGGCCCGGAGAUGGACACUGAGAGAAGGGUCCAGGUCCUACGGGGCGCAGCAGGCGCGAAACCUUCGCAAUGCGCGAAAGCGUGACGAGGUUAAUCCGAGUGACUCCCGCUUAGGGGGUCUUUUGUCAGCUGUAAAUAGGCAGGCGAAUAAGGGGAGGGCAAGCCUGGUGUCAGCCGCCGCGGUAAUACCAGCUCCUCGAGUGGUCGGGGCGAUUAUUGGGCCUAAAGCAUCCGUAGCCGGUUCCGUAGGUCCUCUGUUAAAUCCAACCGCUUAACGGUUGACCUGCAGAGGAUACCGCGGGACUAGGAGGCGGGAGAGGCGGACGGUACUCCGCGUGUAGGGGUAAAAUCCUUUGAUCCGCGGAAGACCACCAGUGGCGAAGGCGGUCCGCCAGAACGCGCUCGACGGUGAGGGAUGAAAGCUGGGGGAGCGAACCGGAUUAGAUACCCGGGUAGUCCCAGCCGUAAACGAUGCUAGCUAGAUGAUUCAUUCGCAAGUCGCGAAUGAAGUGUCGCAGGGAAGCCGUUAAGCUAGCCGCCUGGGGAGUACGGUCGCAAGACUGAAACUUAAAGGAAUUGGCGGGGGAGCA
RNAcentral lists this ribosomal RNA (900 nucleotides) under uncultured archaeon. RNAcentral's name for it is "bacterial SSU rRNA". It matches the Rfam family "Archaeal small subunit ribosomal RNA", at positions 1 to 878 of the family's 1478-position model. The record is from RNAcentral.